GAGUUUGAUCAUGGCUCAGGAUGAACGCUAGCGGCGCGCUUAAUGCAUGCAAGUCGAGCGAUGAGGCCCCUUCGGGGGUACAUCAGCGGCAGACGGGUGAGUAACACGUAGGCAACCUGCCCUUCAGACGGGGAUAACAGUUGGAAACGGCUGCUAAUACCCGAUAGGUACCCGGGGUUAUCGAGAUUCGGGGUAUAAAGUUACGACGCUGAAGGAGGGGCCUGCGGCCCAUCAGUUAGUUGGUGAGGUAACGGCUCACCAAGACGAAGACGGGUAGGGGGUGUGAGAGCAUGGCCCCCCACAAUGGGACUGAGAUACGGCCCAUACUCCUACGGGAGGCAGCAGCAGGGAAUCUUGCACAAUGGACGGAAGUCUGAUGCAGCGACGCCGCGUGAAUGAAGAAGGCCUUCGGGUUGUAAAAUUCUUUUCUGGGGGAAGAGGAAGGACGGUACCCCAGGAAUAAGUGUCGGCUAACUACGUGCCAGCAGCCGCGGUAAUACG
Molecule: ribosomal RNA, 501 nt
Filed under: uncultured Chloroflexota bacterium
Lineage: Bacteria; Bacillati; Chloroflexota
Description: bacterial SSU rRNA
Rfam family: Bacterial small subunit ribosomal RNA
Source: RNAcentral